UGGAAGUAGUGCUGAAGUCCAACUAAAGAUACACUCAAGAUUAUUAGAUUGUGCUAAAGUGCAACUAUUGCAAGUAUAUGUCAGGCACAUUUAAAUAU
Sinocyclocheilus grahami is the source of this 98-nucleotide long non-coding RNA. RefSeq lists it as uncharacterized. Lineage: Eukaryota; Metazoa; Chordata; Actinopteri; Cypriniformes; Cyprinidae. The transcript is spliced from 3 exons. The record is from RefSeq and is a predicted model, not a curated record.